UGGAAUUGGUGAUUGGCUG
RNAcentral lists this microRNA (19 nucleotides) under Ciona intestinalis (vase tunicate). RNAcentral's name for it is "cin-miR-4170-5p". The record is from miRBase by way of RNAcentral. Lineage: Eukaryota; Metazoa; Chordata; Ascidiacea; Phlebobranchia; Cionidae.